GUACACGCUGUGACUAGCAUAUCAAUAAGCGGAGGAAAAGAAACUAACAAGGAUUCCCCUAGUAACGGCGAGUGAAGCGGGAAGAGCUCAAAUUUGAAAUCUUAAAGGGUUUCCCUUUACGAAUUGUAGUUUAAAGAAGUGUUUUCUGUUGAGGUUUUGGUAAAAGUUCUUUGGAAUAGGACAUCAUAGAGGGUGAGAAUCCCGUAUUUGACCUUUACUUUCAACUUUGUGAUACACUUUCAAAGAGUCGGAUUGUUUGGGAAUGCAGUCCAAAAUGGGUGGUAAAUUUCAUCUAAAGCUAAAUAUUGGCGAGAGACCGAUAGCCGAACAAGUACCGUGAGGGAAAGAUGAAAAGAACUUUGAAAAGAGAGUUAAACAGUACGUGAAAUUGUCAAAAGGGAAGCGUUUGACACCAGUGUUGUUUUUCUGAAAAUCAAUUAAAGAACUGUUUAUGCUAAGUUGUUUAGACUUUAUCAGCUAACUGUUUAGUUUUGAGCUUUCCUUUAAUGCACUUUUCAGUUAACAAGUCAACAUCAAUUUCUUUUGCUGUAAAAAAGCUUGAGGAAGGUGGCUUGAGAUUCGUCUUAAGUGUUUAUAGCCUCUUGCCUAUGCAGUCGGAGAGAUUGAGGUCUGUAGCGUAGAUCCUUCGGGGCUAAAUGCAUUUGUGCUAAGUUAUAGCAUUUCAUAGACAACUUGUUGACUAUGAUUUGUCUUGUAGCUUACUCGCUUAUGUUAUUUUACCUACGCUUAGGAUGUUGAAGUCAUCUAUCGCGC
RNAcentral lists this ribosomal RNA (774 nucleotides) under uncultured Neocallimastigales. RNAcentral describes it as "partial large subunit ribosomal RNA". It matches the Rfam family "Eukaryotic large subunit ribosomal RNA", at positions 22 to 652 of the family's 3401-position model. Lineage: Eukaryota; Fungi; Neocallimastigomycota; Neocallimastigomycetes; Neocallimastigales. The record is from RNAcentral.